Molecule: long non-coding RNA, 552 nt
Filed under: Manihot esculenta (cassava)
Lineage: Eukaryota; Viridiplantae; Streptophyta; Magnoliopsida; Malpighiales; Euphorbiaceae
Description: long non-coding RNA (MESC_LNC003918)
Source: RNAcentral
AAUUUUAAAUUCAACUAUGUCCCUUCACUUGGUGAUUCUUAUCCAAUUUGGUGGAAUUGGAGUCUACUUACAAAGUGAUGAGGACUAGAUACUGUGGGGUGAUUCUUCCUUUCCUCCAGAGGAGGUGAUGUGUUGUGAUAUAGGUGGAAUUAGAACAUAGAGAUAGAGUUCUUGUCUUUUCAUUAUCCUUCCUGCUCUGAAUUAGGCACACCUUAUUCUACAAGCCCAUGUUUUUAUGUCCCAGCAAUUACCAGAAGCACCUACAUUAAUAAAUGACAAAAAAUGGAGCUUUAUAACAAAACUCUCAAAUGUUAAAUUCCACAUAUGAAUAUACAUGAACAAAAUCUAAAUCUAAAAUCUGCCUUUUUUUCUUUCUUUUUUGCUCCUUCCCCCCAAUUUAAUAAAAGGAAAAAAGAUCACCUAAAAAUCAAAAUUCUUGCAAAGUGUGCUUAGCUAGAAAAUUCCCAAGAUCCAGACGCUUACAAGGGCCACACAAACUGUACAUGCUUGAGGAUCUUAGAGAGGCACUAGCUGUUGCCACAGUUAUUUCUU